ACGCUGGCGGCAGGCCUAACACAUGCAAGUCGAGCGGUAGAGAGAAGCUUGCUUCUCUUGAGAGCGGCGGACGGGUGAGUAAUGCCUAGGAAUCUGCCUGGUAGUGGGGGAUAACGUUCGGAAACGGACGCUAAUACCGCAUACGUCCUACGGGAGAAAGCAGGGGACCUUCGGGCCUUGCGCUAUCAGAUGAGCCUAGGUCGGAUUAGCUAGUUGGUGGGGUAAUGGCUCACCAAGGCGACGAUCCGUAACUGGUCUGAGAGGAUGAUCAGUCACACUGGAACUGAGACACGGUCCAGACUCCUACGGGAGGCAGCAGUGGGGAAUAUUGGACAAUGGGCGAAAGCCUGAUCCAGCCAUGCCGCGUGUGUGAAGAAGGUCUUCGGAUUGUAAAGCACUUUAAGUUGGGAGGAAGGGCAGUUGCCUAAUACGUAACUGUUUUGACGUUACCGACAGAAUAAGCACCGGCUAACUCUGUGCCAGCAGCCGCGGUAAUACAGAGGGUGCAGGCGUUAAUCGGAAUUACUGGGCGUAAAGCGCGCGUAGGUGGUUUGUUAAGUUGGAUGUGAAAUCCCCGGGCUCAACCUGGGAACUGCAUUCAAAACUGACUGACUAGAGUAUGGUAGAGGGUGGUGGAAUUUCCUGUGUAGCGGUGAAAUGCGUAGAUAUAGGAAGGAACACCAGUGGCGAAGGCGACCACCUGGACUGAUACUGACACUGAGGUGCGAAAGCGUGGGGAGCAAAC
RNAcentral lists this ribosomal RNA (745 nucleotides) under uncultured bacterium. RNAcentral's name for it is "bacterial SSU rRNA". It matches the Rfam family "Bacterial small subunit ribosomal RNA", at positions 33 to 773 of the family's 1533-position model. The record is from RNAcentral.